This is a non-coding RNA of Acanthosepion pharaonis, 96 nucleotides long. Lineage: Eukaryota; Metazoa; Mollusca; Cephalopoda; Sepiida; Sepiidae. The record is from the annotation of a GenBank genome assembly.
CGUUGAAACACUGGUUCUCAUACGAUCACCAAAGUUAAGCAACGUUGAGCCUGGUCAAUACCUAGAUGGGUGACCGAUUGGGAAUACCAGAUGCUA